Helicoverpa armigera (cotton bollworm) is the source of this 5314-nucleotide long non-coding RNA. RefSeq lists it as uncharacterized. The transcript is spliced from 3 exons. The record is from RefSeq and is a predicted model, not a curated record. Lineage: Eukaryota; Metazoa; Arthropoda; Insecta; Lepidoptera; Noctuidae.
ACACGUCUUCGAAUUUUUUGGUUCUAGGACAUGCUGGUUUCCUCACGAUGUUUUCCUUCACCGUUUUGAGAGCAGUAGUGACGAAAUAAAUUACACAAAGUUAUGCGCCAGAUCGGGUUUGAACCCGCGACCUACCACUCGUAAGUUGGGGCAGUUACCACUCGGCCACCACUGCUCUCAAAUUACACACUAUUUUAAUCAUUUUCCGAGUUAAGAUAUUAUUAUAUCAUGUCAGUGGGUAGUCUUCGCUUUGAUUGAAAGAGAUGUUAUAUUAGAUACGGGAAUGGUGUAAGCAAGAAAACUUUUUAUAGUAAGUACCUAAUGAUUUUUGGCAAGGAAAGUUGGGACUUAAGUAUAUAGGUAUAUAUGUUACGUGAGUUUGUGGUAGUUAGAAGCGGAAUUAACAAUAAAUGUGGUAUUCUAUGUCGUCUAAGACGAAUAGCAUGGAGUGUACAUACCGCAGAGCAUUUUAGUGCCAGGCUUUGGAAACCGAUGCAAAGUGAUGCUGGGAUCUUUAGAAGGUGAAGAUCCACACAAGCAGCAGAUUCUUGUGUUUUCUUUUUGUGAACUCAUCGCGAAUUAAACACAAAACAAAAUCAAACAAGUCACUGUCUCAACACCGAGUCUAUAUCUCACAAAUACACACUUAAUUUCACCAAAACACAGCAACGGAGGAGCAAGCUCGACUCAACGUUAUCAAUGUAUGUAGAAUUAAAUGGAAGUAGUUUAUUUAUUACAAAUAAACAUUAGUACAAGAUAAAAUGGUGCGCAACCGGCCGCAGACAUUUUUCUUGUGACGUCAACAAUGUCAAAACCAAUAUGGCGUCCGGACAUUAGUGUUGCCACACAUAAUCCCCCAUAUAUAUUUUCUAAUAAGUAAUAUUAAAUUUUAUAUCUAAUAUUUCUCAACUAAGUAUAUUUUUUGGCAUUAGAAUAAUAGCUAAAAGUAUCUUCAAGGGUAAUUUACUUUAAAAAUCAAUUUAUACGCUCAUUAUUAGGGAGAAUACGAAAUUGUAUUUUUGGUGGCAACAUUAUAUAUUUAUCUCUUUUACUCUGAUGUCGUUGACUCUCUCUUGUUUUCAAGCCCACCUUAAUGCAAUUCGUAGAACAAACUUGACAGACCCUGAUUGCGAUGCAUUUUUUAUAAUAACCUGGAACUUAUGUAUAGCCAUAGACUAGUCUACUUAUUAUGAAGAGGUUAGUGCGUGAUGACGAAAAAGUUUUUAAUGUAAUGUUAGAUAUUUUAGGUGUAAGUUGACAUGCCGCUAUUGAUUAUAUUACCUAGUGUAUAUUUAGUAUGUACUGUGUAACCACUGACCAUUGUCGCCCUAGUAUUAUGUAUAUGUUGGGGCAUAGACUGGGGGGAGCUCUAGUCUAUGUCUUUAGACGCAACCUGUGAUAUGUAUAAGCAACGCCCUUUAUGAUUUUUUUGCGUUUUGUUUUAAUGGUUUUUCCUCAAUUUUUGUAUAUCACAAUCAUGUGUCACAAGAAGGGUUGUCUUUACUACCCAAUGUAUCGAUAUAUCGAUAUUUUUUUGUUGUAUUUUUUUUCUUUAUUCUAUUUGUAUUAUUUUAUUCCAAUACAAUGCAUUUUCUAUUUUUUGAGAACGGAUUAUGAAUGUAUGAAAUCAAAUUUUGAUAAAAUGUUCUUCGUUGUUGCUCAAUUUAUUUAUUUACUUUGAAACACCAAGUUGCAAAUAUCAAAAAGAGGUAAAUGUGUAAAUAAUUAUAAAUAUUACUUAUGAAUUCUAAGUUUUACUGUGUCUUAUGAAUUUUAUGUUAAUCAAUGACAUAUAUAAGAUUGAUUUAUUUUAUGAAUUCAUGAUGGGUAUGAAAAAGCAUUACACCAAUGAAAGUUUGGGCACAAAUCUGUAUGUACAGUAUUUAUUGGUAUUGUAAAUAUGUUGCUACGAGGCAAACGUGAGCCAAUGUUCGAUAUGUAAAUAAAAUAUUUUGUAAAUCAAUUGGAACGUCGACGACUUUACUCACGACUGGGAAACUUUUUUGGAAAAGUAAAACAUUCUCAAAUUGUAAAGAUUUAUAGUUUUCUAUAGUCUUUAUUAUAAUUUUAGAGUUUCAGCUUAUUAUUGUUUCAAUAUUCAAUUUGUAUAAAUAAAGUAUUAGUAUAUUACAAAAUUCGGCAUUUAUAAUAGUCGAUAAAUUUGCACAGUUUUUAUUGGAGCAACGCGGUUUAGGGAUGUGUUGUACGUUUUAAAGUCUGAUGCAUUUUAUGAAUGAUUUGUCUAUCUCAUUAAUUUAUAACUCAUACAUUUAUUGUACCUAAUUUAGUUAGAGUUGUUUGUGAUAGAAAUACUCUGUGUGUUAAAACUAUCUUCUAUCUAUAUUAAUAAGCGUCAAUUGUGCUUCUAAUAUACAAUAGAAUUUAUGUUUAGUGAAUCAUUACUGUGAUAAUUUUAUUUCAUUGUGAUUUUCCCGGAUGUCUUUUUUACUUAAUUUUUAUGCACUUGUUUGUAUGUCAAAGGACAUUGCCACCCGUUGGGCCCCUUAUUUGUGAUAGAGUGUCAAGAAUAUUUUAUUAUUAAAAAUCAAGUCCUAAUUUUAUAAAACUAACUAUUUUUUUUUCAGAAUUUCUUGUACCCUAGCAUUGAAAAACAUAAUUAAUAUUUAUUUUAUUGAAUCUAAGCUAGUUCCGCCAUUAAAACUUAACCUGAAUGUUGCCAGGUAGACGACAGACUAUCUCAUUUAAAUGAACGAGGUGAUCAAUUGAAAAUAUCGAUAUAAUAUAUAGCAUUUUUCUCUUAUAUCAAAAUGUACAAGUAUAUAUAUUAAGUAUGCACUCGUAAAUAGUAAACAAGAAAAGAAGAAAGAAAAACUGUUUAUAACUGUUGCACAAACAAUAAAAUAUCAACACUAACAAAAGUCACCACUAAACUAUAUCUAUAAAACGGUUACAUAUAACACCAUACAUGGAAUACAACAAUAACACAAUAAUAAGUAAAUGAUAUUAUUUAUAACAAAUCGAUUUAGGAAAUCGAUUAACAAAAUAUUUAACAUGGUAACAUCUACUCGGAACGCGAGUCUAUCUGUCAAAUCAAUACGUCAUUCAAAUUGUUUUCGUGCCGGUUGUUAUGUUAUGCGUAGAGUUGAAUUUAUUCCUCCGUAUUUGCUUCUGAUCGUUACAAUUUGCGUAAAAACUGUCGAGCUGAUCGUUUUCGUGCCUCCAGUGGUUUUUUUUAGAUAUUGGACUCUUUUCUUAAUGAUAAGUGAGCACAUUGACUCGUGAGCAUUGGACUCUUGUUUUUAGUGAUAUUGUUGUUUUACUCCGGAAAAAUGUCUGCACCUGGUAGAAGUCGAGUAAACUACUCUUUGUCUCGCCGGUGUGUUAAUUGCUCUUUACGUAUAGCGCCUAAUCUUCGUAGACGUUAAAUUGAAGAAAUAGAUGAACCAAUGCUUAUCCUUCUAAGAUCCUGGGUAACACCUACAUUGAUAUCUUCUGAUGAUAUCCUGUGUGUGAAAUGUUUUGUAUUAUUACAAAACCAGACAGCAUCUAACUCAAAUCUGUCACUUGUAUCCCCUGCUCGUGGACACCUAAACUUAUGCUACGCAUGUGGCUUGUCAAUAGCAAGUCGCAGAACUCAUAGUCAGUCAAGAUAGUUCCUCAAAGGAAUGUUAUACUAAGAUGGACACCAGUACAUCACGUGUUGCAUUUGGAACGAGUUUGUGUUCCUUGUUGGGCGGCUGCAUCAAGACAAGUCCGGAGGCAACCCGUUGCUGGCAGUAGCCAACACACUGUGGAGUCUGCACGGAGACUGGUAUCAUGGAUGGAAACAUAAUUACAGAUAUGAUGAUUCCUGUACCACCACCACUGCCACCGCUUUAAUGAUAUAAGCGCUCCAGCACAAUUUCUAGACAACAUAUUCCUUGAAGAAUAAAUGUUUAUUAUUUUAAUUGGUUGUGUUUUUUCUUAUUAAACAUCUGUAUAGCAUUUACUAUAUUUUAAACUCCUUUAUAAUUAAGCCCUUUCUAAAAUAAACUACAGCUAAUCAUAGAUGACACAGCGAUCUUACUAAGUAGCAGGGCAGUGAUUUUACUAUGUCGCUUGCAGGAGAUGCUGUCAUAUAUGUCAUACAUACUCGUAUAUACUAGGUACCUACCAGUUUGCCAACAAUCUUGGGGUCGGCUUUUAGUCUAACCGAUGCCGCUGAAUACAGUAUUGCUCAAAGAGUGAUUGCCCAUCUGACCUCCAUACCCGAUACACUGGGUUAUAACAUGUUACCUCUUGGUAAGUGGUUGUCACACUUGCUGGAUUCUUGCUACUCGUAACAAGUAUAAUGCACCCAGAAUCAGCAGUUUAAAUGUAAGUACUAGCUGCCACCCAGCUGAAGUUUGUAAUGGAUGGUCACCCAAGUGCAAUCUGACCAAGUAGCUUAACUUAAGAUAUCUCCUUGUGGUUGUUGUAACGUAGCCACAUGCUCCUCCAACCAAUUUAGCCCUAAGUAUAUUUAUUUCUACUGGUUGCAGCAAAACCUACUUCCGCUGACUGCAAGAUAAACAGUUUAACAUAUUAUUUAGCAAGAAAAGAUGAUAUCUGAUGUUUUUAUUUCAUUUGGGAAUCAAUAUUAAUACUAAAAAUAUUUUAUUGUUUUAACGCAAAUUGUUUUUGAAAAAAUAUUGUCUAAUAACCUCAAUUUCUUCAUCAGAAAAAAAUCAAUAAUUCUCGGAAACUAGGGUGAAAAAUUAUAAAUUGUUUUCAGGGUCUGAAAAGGUAAUUGUCGUUCUUCAAAAUAAAGUUAAUACCACCAUGGCACGCAAUUUUUUUCUGGGGGCCCAAAUCUCCUAACAAAACGGGCAUUCUCCUUUAGUAUAAAAUAAUUAAAUAAUAUUCUAAACCAAAAUGUCUAUUUCUAACACGAUAUACUUACCUUUAAACUGUUGACUUACAAUAAUGAAUACCUACCUUUAUCAUAAAUAAUUAGGAAAUGUGACAGUACCUAGCUUACACAUCAGUACGAGAGGAACUAAGUUACUCUGUUGACAUUCUGAGACAGAGGAAUGUAAUGUUAUCUGAUAAUUAUAUGAAUAAAUAAAUGUACCUUUUCAAUAUUACCUAAUGGCCCAUAAUCAUUGAAUAGCGAUUGUAACGAAUGUAUUCAUGUAAACUAAUGUUACCUAAACUAGUGAUGAUGACGUCGAUUUUGUAUUAUUGUAUUUUUUGUACAUAAUGUAGCUAGAGGAAAUUAAUUAUGUGCAAUUAUUACCACCUCUAUGGCGCAAUACCAAAGGUAUUUAUGUUCUGUAACUGUUGUGUAAAAUACUCGGAGUUAUUAAAAUUAUAACGAAAUGAUCGAAAACGA